CAUCUAUAAUGAGAGCUGGUGCCCAGAACGCUAUAUAUAUAAUAAAUAAAUUAUAAUAAAUAAAUAAAUAAAAAUUAAAAAAAAACAAACAAGUAAAAAUCUGACCUGCUAAGUUAAAGCCAGUUACAGACAAGAUGAGGACUCUGGGUGAAACAUUCCUCCACAACCUCUCAGCUUGGACCCAGCUCUCCAGGAAGAUCCCAGCUAGUCAUAACUCAUAUAUACCCAAUAGACAGACCACAAAUGCUUAGAGAUCUGGGGAAUAGGGCAUUUAAAUGUUUAAUUAAAAAGGCUUUCUGUAACAGAGAGACAGGUUGGCUCCUGGCAGCAACCCCUGCUUCCUCCAAAGAUGAUGAACGAGCACAAAAGAACAUCCAUCUGUAACUUUCUUCAAGCAAAAGCGCUAACCAUAGGGAUACACUGCCUUUCAUCUAAACUGCUGCAAAUCUCUUCAGACCAUGGACAACAGGACACUGAGGAAUCCUACAAACUCCUAAUCCACAGGAUCUCCUGAAGCCUAUCAGGCCCCAUGCUGUCAGCCUUAAGAUAGAUGUUGCCCUAAUGACCAUGACGGACCCUGGGGUGACUGUCUAGGUAGCCAAUCCAGGAGCUGACUUGGAGGGUUAACCUUGAACAGGUCGGGUGAGUGCACCCCUCCCUCGGCCUAAGCCUCCCCACCUUCCUCUGGUCCUGACACUCUUCCCCCCCUCAGUCACCAGUACCUAAAGAAACAUUUUUCCCUAAUCUUAACCUUGUCCUUUGCUUUGCUAGUACCUCGCCAGGUCCAAGAAACACUGGACAGUUCCAUAGAGCCUGGACAGCAGUGAAACAAUCAGCUACCCCAGAAUGUGGCCAUCAUCCCAGAUGUCUCAGGUCCCACCCCUUCCCAAAUCAGUAGGAAGCAGUUCUGAGAACUCAGUGCCCUCAAUCCCUUAAUCUGCCCUUCCUAACUCCUCACCUUUUUAAUAAAAAUAAGAAGGGAGGGAUGUUAGGCUCCAGGCACACCGUGGCACCGUACCUGCAUGACAGACAGUACUCUGUCCUUUUAAGAGACAAGCUCUGCCCACUCUCUUCUCUGCCCCCCCCUCCUCUCCACUCAAUAAACUCCACACUCAAA
This is a non-coding RNA of Myodes glareolus (Bank vole), 1117 nucleotides long. The record is from RefSeq and is a predicted model, not a curated record. Lineage: Eukaryota; Metazoa; Chordata; Mammalia; Rodentia; Cricetidae.